CUGGCAACCCCAUGUAAGCGAUCCCAACUCUACCGUUAACUGAUCUGCCGUCGCAACCGAGGGGUUGGACUGUAAAGCGCAGCCUAGCCCUAAACAUUGGGAGGUUCUUCGGUUGUUUCGUCUGCCGGAAAUGCCCGGCAUUCCUUUAUCCAACCGCUCGAAGAUCGGGGACUGUGUAGGAAAGGUGAAAUACCUUCUUGUACAGCGUGCAACAGUAAGGUAGGAAUGGUUCAGACGCCCCUCAGCAACAUCCAUUUUCCUAGAAAUCAUAAGCGAGUCAGGUAUAUCUAUGGUGAACAUUUCCCAGGCCAGAGAGACAUCUACAAGAGGACACGCAAGGGUCCUCCACAAUUUGCACAUCCUCUCGUAGCCAUUCUUGUUGCUCAGCAGUUCUAGUGUUUUUGUCGUAUAUCCUAGCC
This 419-nucleotide small RNA is filed under the name Histoplasma ohiense. RNAcentral's name for it is "hypothetical lncRNA". Lineage: Eukaryota; Fungi; Ascomycota; Eurotiomycetes; Onygenales; Ajellomycetaceae. The record is from RNAcentral.